Molecule: RNA transcript, 2926 nt
Organism: Amborella trichopoda
Lineage: Eukaryota; Viridiplantae; Streptophyta; Magnoliopsida; Amborellales; Amborellaceae
Gene: RAD9
Gene name: cell cycle checkpoint control protein family
Source: RefSeq, a predicted model, not a curated record
CAUGUAUCCAAUCUAAAAGUUCUAAAUUGUGUCUCGAUGCUAUUUCAAGGUGCGCUUUACUCGCAUUAUUUAGAGCGCCUCGGCUCUGUACAAACCGCACCCGUCUCUUUCUUUUUUUCUGGGUCAUUUUCUCUCUUUACCCGCCAUUUCUCUCUCUGGGCUGUACAAAGGGAAAUACAUUUUAGAGUGUAGAUAGAUAAUUUAGAGAGAGAAAGAAGUGAAUGAGUUGAAAAAGAUGGAGUGUAGUUUGAGCGGGAACGCCCUCAAGACCUUCGCCCGCUCCAUUACAUGUCUCGCUCGCAUUGGCAGCGAGCUCAUCAUCAAAGUCUCUCCUUCUCUGCUCUCUUUAUACACUCUCAAUUCUUCUCGGUCGGCCUAUCUGACUAUGAUUUACAAGGCUGAGUUUUUUGACACAUACACACUCUCCGCAGCCCAAGCACAAUGCAGUGUCCUUUUAAAGACUGUGUGUACCAUUUUAAGGACACCGCCUUCAAGUACAGAUCGGUUACAUAUGCUCUUGCCUGACUCAGAUGCAGAAAAAGUGCAGUUUAUCAUAGAUUGCAUGAAUGGUUUGAGGAAGACCUAUUGGAUUACUUGCAAUAUCCAACCAGAAAUUCAGCAUCUCUCUCUUGAUAAGUCGAAAUUUCCCAGUUAUUUUGUGAUUAAGCCUCGUGAUUUUAGCAGGUUGUUAGCUAAUUUUCAGGCAUCACUCCAGGAGAUAACAGUCAUUGCUACUGAAUCCACACCCUUAACUACUAAUGCUGAUAGCACCAUGGGAGGGAAAGCAGUUGAACUGAGAAGUUUUAUAGACCCCGCCAAAGAUAGCAGAGAUGCAGCUUUACAUACCCAGUUAUGGAUCAAUCCUGCCGAAGAAUUUCUGCUCUAUACUCACACUGGUGAUCCCGUAGAUGUAACAUUUAGCAUGAAAGAAUUGAAGGCCUUUCUUGCAUUAUGUGAGGGUUGUGAAGUUGACAUUCAUUUUCUCUUUGAGAAGGCUGGCGAGCCUAUUCUAAUGGCUCCAAAAUUUGGUCUAGAUGACGGGUCCAGUUCAGAUUUUGAUGCCACCCUAGUCUUGGCCACAAUGCUCGUAUCCCAGCUUAGAGAAGCAAACGGCUCAGAUCCAAUGCUGGCUUCAUCCAUGCGACCCAGCCGUCCAGAUCAUGAAUCAGAUUCCCAAGCUCAUAACAGGUUGCAUCCAUCCAGGCAGGAAUGGCCCAGAGCACCAACUCCAUCUCCUGUUUCUGAGAACCCUUCUGAUCAUACCCGAGUCUGGUCUGAACUUUCAGGAAGUGCCGCCAUUCCUACAAGCAGGAAUGACCAACAAGCUCCUUUGGAAGGUAAUGCUAAUGCAAGAGAAAAAAAUGCUUCAGGUAUACAGGUGCCUGAAAAAGCAAGAGCAGCCUCCAAGGGAUCACCUAUGAGGGAGAAUGUGCAUUCAGUUACCAUGAAUCAGUUUGCUACAAAUCAUUUGCUGGGAGUCCAAGAUAUAAUGCAGCCAAACAUCCAUGAAUCCCGACAUCAUCCCAGCAAUUGGGUGAGUGAUGCUGACGAUGAUGAGGAUGAUGGUGAAGAAGAGAUUUUUGUCCAAUCAACUCCGUAAUUUCUAACAAAUGGUGAAGUGUAAAGCGAUGAAAGCUCUUUAGGAGAACAUCAUGCAUCGUUGUUUAGGUUCAGGGGGAGGUAUCCACCUAUGCAGAAUGGUCCGAGUGUAAUGAGCCUAACAUACAUGCUCUUUCCUCUUUUGAUUCAUCAGUUCCACAUGACCAACCAUACAGGACACCCUUGAUGUAUCUGGUCCCUCAGGUUCUUCUUUGCCCAUCACCAAUGAUAGCUCUUCAACUUCUCUUAAAAAGGGACAUAUCACCACUGCAUCACCGAUCCAAAAUGUCCCCAGAAUAAUGCAACACACAACUAUGGUGAUAAAAAUGUUGCAGCUUAAGAAACCAAUCAAUCUAAUUUUUUACCAGUCUUUGAGCAUCAUUGUCAUCACAUGGUUACAAGAUCUCAAGAUAGUACUCGAAGACCUCGAAUUCUCCCAUCCAUGGCAGCAAUAUCAAGUGCUCCUAUUUUUUAACUUAUCCUUUUUUAAACUAAAACCAUUAAGUCUGCCUUAGGUUAUUCAGGUUUCUAAACCUAAAACCAUUAAGUCUGCCUUAGGUCAUUCGGAUUGGCAUCGUGUCAUGGAAGAGGAAAUUGAAACCCUAUAUGUUAAUUCAACUUGGGGAGCUAGUUCCACGUCUUCUAGGUAUGAAUGUUGUUGGUUGUCAUUGAGUCUAUAAGUCUAAAUUAAACUUUGAUGGAAGUCUAGAGAAACUUAAAGCCACACUAGUUGUUAAAGGAUACAAUCAGGUUGCUAGAAUUGAUUUCUCUGAAAUAUUCAAUCAUGUUAUUAAGCCUGCUAGUAUUCAAAUUGUGCUCACCAUAGCUAUUGUGUGCCACUGGCCUAUCAAACAACUUGAUGUGAAAAAUGCUUUCCUGCAUGGUUUUCUUAAGGAAAAUGUGUUUAUGGAACAAUUUCUUGGAUUUGGAAGCUCAAAAUGUCCCAAAUCAUGUCUACAUAUUAAAAAGAGCUUUAUAUGGUCUCAAACAAACGUAUCGAGAUGUUGAAAUUGUAUAUUGAAAUAUUGCCAUUGUAAAAGGUAACAAGAGAGGAAAAUGUAUAUGUACAUUACAUGUAACAAGAUAGGAAGGUGCACAUUCUAUCAUUGUAUUACUAUCAUAUAUACAAUGAAAGAACUACCACAAGAAAUCAAUGUAGGGCACAAUUAUCCUAUCAAAAGUUCCUCUCUCUAGAACUACCACAAGAAUCAAUGUGGGGCACAAUUAUCCUAUCAAAAGUUCCUCUUUCUCUAUAAUUCUUUAGCUGUUGUGUCAUAUUCCCUGCCGCACUUGAUGUCUCAAUAAUGCCUGUUCCGAGUUGCAGCCA